Molecule: transfer RNA, 72 nt
Filed under: Myriophyllum sibiricum
Lineage: Eukaryota; Viridiplantae; Streptophyta; Magnoliopsida; Saxifragales; Haloragaceae
Also listed under: 8 other names
Description: tRNA-Gln
Rfam family: tRNA
About the family: Transfer RNA (tRNA) molecules are approximately 80 nucleotides in length. Their secondary structure includes four short double-helical elements and three loops (D, anti-codon, and T loops). Further hydrogen bonds mediate the characteristic L-shaped molecular structure. tRNAs have two regions of fundamental functional importance: the anti-codon, which is responsible for specific mRNA codon recognition, and the 3' end, to which the tRNAs corresponding amino acid is attached (by aminoacyl-tRNA synthetases). tRNAs cope with the degeneracy of the genetic code in two manners: having more than one tRNA (with a specific anti-codon) for a particular amino acid; and 'wobble' base-pairing, i.e. permitting non-standard base-pairing at the 3rd anti-codon position.
Source: RNAcentral
UGGGGCGUGGCCAAGUGGUAAGGCAACGGGUUUUGGUCCCGCUACGCGGAGGUUCGAAUCCUUCCGUCCCAG